UUUCAUCUAUUAAAAGAAGUAAAAAAUAUUAACUACAAAAAGUAUAUUAAAUCUAUUUAUCUAAUUUGACAAAAAAUACAUUCUGUAAUUAGAGGAAUUUGACCUGAAAGCCCUGUUAAGAUUUUAGAUGUUAACUUACAAGAUAUUUCUUGCGCAUCACAAUCUACUUUGACUCAAAAAAAAAAACUUUAUUAUGUUCUGUAUUACUUUUACGUAGAUUGGAACAUUACUUUUCUGAUGACAUAAGUCAAUAUUUCUUUUUUGUCCUUAAUAUUACUCUCUUUUGUAU
RNAcentral lists this long non-coding RNA (289 nucleotides) under Pan troglodytes (chimpanzee). RNAcentral's name for it is "long non-coding RNA NONPTRT000311". Lineage: Eukaryota; Metazoa; Chordata; Mammalia; Primates; Hominidae. The record is from RNAcentral.